RNAcentral lists this transfer RNA (70 nucleotides) under Candidatus Avichristensenella intestinipullorum. It matches the Rfam family "tRNA". From Rfam's summary of the family: Transfer RNA (tRNA) molecules are approximately 80 nucleotides in length. Their secondary structure includes four short double-helical elements and three loops (D, anti-codon, and T loops). RNAcentral also lists the same sequence under 4 other names. The record is from RNAcentral. Lineage: Bacteria; Bacillati; Bacillota; Clostridia.
GAGCAUAGCUCAGUUGGGAGAGCAUCUGCCUUACAAGCAGAGGGUCACAGGUUCGAGCCCUGUUGUUCCC